This 301-nucleotide ribosomal RNA is filed under the name uncultured bacterium. RNAcentral's name for it is "partial 16S ribosomal RNA". It matches the Rfam family "Bacterial small subunit ribosomal RNA", at positions 509 to 807 of the family's 1533-position model. The record is from RNAcentral.
CAGUAGCCACGGGAAUACAGAGGGUGCGAGCGUUAAUCGGAUUUACUGGGCGUAAAGCGUGCGUAGGCGGCUUCUUAAGUCGGAUGUGAAAUCCCUGAGCUUAACUUAGGAAUUGCAUUCGAUACUGGGAAGCUAGAGUAUGGGAGAGGAUGGUAGAAUUCCAGGUGUAGCGGUGAAAUGCGUAGAGAUCUGGAGGAAUACCGAUUGCGAAGGCAGCCAUCUGGCCUAAUACUGACGCUGAGGUACGAAAGCAUGGGGAGCAAACAGGAUUAGAUACCCCAGUAGUCCCUGUCUCUUAUAC